GACGAACGCUGGCGGCGUGCUUAACACAUGCAAGUCGAACGGAAAGGCCCUGCCUUUGUGGGGUGCUCGAGUGGCGAACGGGUGAGUAACACGUGAGUAACCUGCCCUUGACUUUGGGAUAACUUCAGGAAACUGGGGCUAAUACCGGAUAGGAGCUCCUGCUGCAUGGUGGGGGUUGGAAAGUUUCGGCGGUUGGGGAUGGACUCGCGGCUUAUCAGCUUGUUGGUGGGGUAGUGGCUUACCAAGGCUUUGACGGGUAGCCGGCCUGAGAGGGUGACCGGCCACAUGGGGACUGAGAUACGGCCCAGACUCCUACGGGAGGCAGCAGUGGGGAAUAUUGCACAAUGGGCGGAAGCCUGAUGCAGCAACGCCGCGUGCGGGAUGACGGCCUUCGGGUUGUAAACCGCUUUCGCCUGUGACGAAGCGUGAGUGACGGUAAUGGGUAAAGAAGCACCGGCUAACUACGUG
This 468-nucleotide ribosomal RNA is filed under the name uncultured bacterium. RNAcentral describes it as "partial 16S ribosomal RNA". It matches the Rfam family "Bacterial small subunit ribosomal RNA", at positions 28 to 507 of the family's 1533-position model. The record is from RNAcentral.